GGGUUGUGAGGUUAAGCGACUAAGCGUACACGGUGGAUGCCCUGGCAGUCAGAGGCGAUGAAGGACGUGCUAAUCUGCGAAAAGCGUCGGUAAGGUGAUAUGAACCGUUAUAGCCGGCGAUGUCCGAAUGGGGAAACCCAGUGCAAUUCGUUGCACUAUCGUUAACUGAAUACAUAGGUUAACGAGGCGAACCGGGGGAACUGAAACAUCUAAGUACCCCGAGGAAAAGAAAUCAACCGAGAUUCCCCCAGUAGCGGCGAGCGAACGGGGAGCAGCCCGGAGUCUGAAUCAGCUUGUGUGUUAGUGGAAGCGUCUGGAAAGUCGCAGGGUACAGGGUGAUACUCCCGUACACUAAAACGCACAGGUUGUGAACUCGAAGAGUAGGGCGGGACACGUGGUAUCCUGUCUGAAUAUGGGGGGACCAUCCUCCAAGGCUAAAUACUCCUGACUGACCGAUAGUGAACCAGUACCGUGAGGGAAAGGCGAAAAGAACCCCGGCGAGGGGAGUGAAAAAGAACCUGAAACCGUGUACGUACAAGCAGUAGGAGCCCACUAGUUGGGUGACUGCGUACCUUUUGUAUAAUGGGUCAGCGACUUAUAUUCUGUAGCAAGGUUAACCGUAUAGGGGAGCCGCAGGGAAACCGAGUCUUAACUGGGCGUUAAGUUGCAGGGUAUAGACCCGAAACCCGGUGAUCUAGCCAUGGGCAGGUUGAAGGUUGGGUAACACUAACUGGAGGACCGAACCGACUAAUGUUGAAAAAUUAGCGGAUGACUUGUGGCUGGGGGUGAAAGGCCAAUCAAACCGGGAGAUAGCUGGUUCUCCCCGAAAGCUAUUUAGGUAGCGCCUCGUGAAUUCAUCUUCGGGGGUAGAGCACUGUUUCGGCUAGGGGGUCAUCCCGACUUACCAACCCGAUGCAAACUACGAAUACCGAAGAAUGUUAUCACGGGAGACACACGGCGGGUGCUAACGUCCGUCGUGAAGAGGGAAACAACCCAGACCGCCAGCUAAGGUCCCAAAGUCAUGGUUAAGUGGGAAACGAUGUGGGAAGGCCCAGACAGCCAGGAUGUUGGCUUAGAAGCAGCCAUCAUUUAAAGAAAGCGUAAUAGCUCACUGGUCGAGUCGGCCUGCGCGGAAGAUGUAACGGGGCUAAACCAUGCACCGAAGCUGCGGCAGCGACACUAUGUGUUGUUGGGUAGGGGAGCGUUCUGUAAGCCGUUGAAGGUGGCCUGUGAGGGUUGCUGGAGGUAUCAGAAGUGCGAAUGCUGACAUAAGUAACGAUAAUGCGGGUGAAAAACCCGCACGCCGGAAGACCAAGGGUUCCUGUCCAACGUUAAUCGGGGCAGGGUGAGUCGACCCCUAAGGCGAGGCCGAAAGGCGUAGUCGAUGGGAAACAGGUUAAUAUUCCUGUACUCGGUGUUACUGCGAAGGGGGACGGAGAAGGCUAUGUUGGCCGGGCGACGGUUGUCCCGGUUUAAGCAUGUAGGCGGAUGUUCCAGGUAAAUCCGGAACGUUAUUAACGCUGAGGUGUGAUGACGAGGCACUACGGUGCUGAAGUGACAAAUGCCCUGCUUCCAGGAAAAGCCUCUAAGCAUCAGGUAACAUCAAAUCGUACCCCAAACCGACACAGGUGGUCAGGUAGAGAAUACCAAGGCGCUUGAGAGAACUCGGGUGAAGGAACUAGGCAAAAUGGUGCCGUAACUUCGGGAGAAGGCACGCUGAUGGUAGGUGAAGCGACUUGCUCGUGGAGCUGAAAUCAGUCGAAGAUACCAGCUGGCUGCAACUGUUUAUUAAAAACACAGCACUGUGCAAACACGAAAGUGGACGUAUACGGUGUGACGCCUGCCCGGUGCCGGAAGGUUAAUUGAUGGGGUUAUCCGUAAGGAGAAGCUCUUGAUCGAAGCCCCGGUAAACGGCGGCCGUAACUAUAACGGUCCUAAGGUAGCGAAAUUCCUUGUCGGGUAAGUUCCGACCUGCACGAAUGGCGUAAUGAUGGCCAGGCUGUCUCCACCCGAGACUCAGUGAAAUUGAACUCGCUGUGAAGAUGCAGUGUACCCGCGGCAAGACGGAAAGACCCCGUGAACCUUUACUAUAGCUUGACACUGAACACUGGUCCUUGAUGUGUAGGAUAGGUGGGAGGCUUUGAAGUGUGGACGCCAGUCUGCAUGGAGCCAUCCUUGAAAUACCACCCUUUAAUGGCUGGUGUUCUAACGUGGGCCCGUGAUCCGGGUUGCGGACAGUGUCUGGUGGGUAGUUUGACUGGGGCGGUCUCCUCCUAAAGAGUAACGGAGGAGCACGAAGGUCAGCUAAUCCUGGUCGGACAUCAGGAGGUUAGUGCAAUGGCAUAAGCUGGCUUGACUGCGAGCGUGACGGCGCGAGCAGGUGCGAAAGCAGGUCAUAGUGAUCCGGUGGUUCUGAAUGGAAGGGCCAUCGCUCAACGGAUAAAAGGUACUCCGGGGAUAACAGGCUGAUACCGCCCAAGAGUUCAUAUCGACGGCGGUGUUUGGCACCUCGAUGUCGGCUCAUCACAUCCUGGGGCUGAAGUAGGUCCCAAGGGUAUGGCUGUUCGCCAUUUAAAGUGGUACGCGAGCUGGGUUUAGAACGUCGUGAGACAGUUCGGUCCCUAUCUGCCGUGGGCGCUGGAGAAUUGAGGGGGGCUGCUCCUAGUACGAGAGGACCGGAGUGGACGCAUCACUGGUGUUCGGGUUGUCAUGCCAAUGGCAUUGCCCGGUAGCUAAAUGCGGAAGAGAUAAGUGCUGAAAGCAUCUAAGCACGAAACUUGCCCCGAGAUGAGUUCUCCCUGACCCUUUAAGGGUCCUGAAGGAACGUUGAAGACGACGACGUUGAUAGGCCGGGUGUGUAAGCGCAGCGAUGCGUUGAGCUAACCGGUACUAAUGAACCGUGAGGCUUAACCUUACAACGCCGAAG
Molecule: ribosomal RNA, 2926 nt
Filed under: Klebsiella michiganensis
Lineage: Bacteria; Pseudomonadati; Pseudomonadota; Gammaproteobacteria; Enterobacterales; Enterobacteriaceae
Description: 23S ribosomal RNA
Rfam family: Bacterial large subunit ribosomal RNA
Source: RNAcentral